UACGGAGGAUGCAAGCGUUAUCCGGAAUGAUUGGGCGUAAAGCGUCCGCAGGUGGCUGUGUAAGUCUGUUGUUAAAGCGUGCGGCUCAACCGCAUAAGGGCAAUGGAAACUACAAGGCUAGAGUGCGUUAGGGGUAGAGGGAAUUCCUGGUGUAGCGGUGAAAUGCGUAGAUAUCAGGAAGAACACCGGUGGCGAAGGCGCUCUACUAUGCCGCAACUGACACUGAGGGACGAAAGCUAGGGGAGCGAAUGGG
RNAcentral lists this ribosomal RNA (253 nucleotides) under uncultured bacterium. RNAcentral describes it as "partial 16S ribosomal RNA". It matches the Rfam family "Bacterial small subunit ribosomal RNA", at positions 524 to 776 of the family's 1533-position model. The record is from RNAcentral.